CCUACGGGGGGCAGCAGUAAGGAAUAUUGGUCAAUGGGCGGGAGCCUGAACCAGCCAUGCCGCGUGCAGGAAGACGGCCUUAUGGGUUGUAAACUGCUUUUAUCGGGGAAUAAAACUUUCUACGUGUAGAGAGCUGAAGGUACCCGAAGAAUAAGCAUCGGCUAACUCCGUGCCAGCAGCCGCGGUAAUACGGAGGAUGCAAGCGUUAUCCGGAUUCAAGGGGUUGCAGGGGUGCUCAGGCGGCUUGGUAGAAAUUCUAGGGCUUAACAUUAGACCUGCCAUUGAUACUGUCAGUCUAGAGGAUAGUUGGAGUGGGCGGAAUGUGUCAUGUAGCGGUGAAAUGCUUAGAUAUGACACAGAACACCGAUCGCGAAGGCAGCUCACUAAGCUAAAACUGACGCUCAUGCACGAAAGCGUGGGGAUCAAACAGGAUUAGAUACCCUAGUAGUC
Molecule: ribosomal RNA, 450 nt
Filed under: uncultured bacterium
Lineage: Bacteria
Description: partial 16S ribosomal RNA
Rfam family: Bacterial small subunit ribosomal RNA
Source: RNAcentral